GAAACGCGAUAGUUAAUGUGAAUUGCAGAAUUCAGUGAAUCAUCGAGUCUUUGAACGCACAUUGCGCCUUUUGGUAUUCCGGGGGGUAUGCCUGUCCGAGCGUCAUUGCUGCCCUCAAGCACGGCUUGUGUGUUGGGUCGUCGUCCCCCCUCCCGGGGGGGACGGGCCCGAAAGGCAGCGGCGGCACCGCGUCCGGUCCUCGAGCGUAUGGGGCUUUGUCACCCGCUCUUGUAGGCCCGGCCGGCGCUGGCCGACGCUGAAAAGCAACCAACUAUUUCUCCAGGUUGACCUCGGAUCAGGUAGGGAUACCCGCUGAACUUAA
This 322-nucleotide unclassified non-coding RNA is filed under the name uncultured Aspergillus. RNAcentral describes it as "sequence contains ITS1". The stretch from base 1 to 105 matches the Rfam family "5.8S ribosomal RNA", at positions 50 to 154 of the family's 154-position model. Lineage: Eukaryota; Fungi; Ascomycota; Eurotiomycetes; Eurotiales; Aspergillaceae. The record is from RNAcentral.